UGGAGGCAGCAGUGGGGAAUCUUAGACAAUGGGCGAAAGCUUGAUCUAGCCAUGCCGCGUGAGUGAUGAAGGCCCUAGGGUCGUAAAGCUCUUUCGCCAGAGAUGAUAAUGACAGUAUCUGGUAAAGAAACCCCGGCUAACUCCGUGCCAGCAGCCGCGGUAAUACGGAGGGGGUUAGCGUUGUUCGGAAUUACUGGGCGUAAAGCGCACGUAGGCGGACUAUUAAGUUAGAGGUGAAAUCCCAGGGCUCAACCCUGGAACUGCCUUUAAUACUGGUAGUCUUGAGUUCGAGAGAGGUGAGUGGAAUUCCAAGUGUAGAGGUGAAAUUCGUAGAUAUUUGGAGGAACACCAGUGGCGAAGGCGGCUCACUGGCUCGAUACUGACGCUGAGGUGCGAAAGUGUGGGGAGCAAACAGGAUUAGAUACCCUGGUAGUCCACACCGUAAACGAUGAAUGCCAGUCGUCGGGUAGCAUGCUGCUCGGUGACACACCUAACGGAUUAAGCAUUCCGCCUGGGGAGUACGGUCGCAAGAUUAAAACUCAAA
This 544-nucleotide ribosomal RNA is filed under the name uncultured bacterium. Its description in RNAcentral is "bacterial SSU rRNA". It matches the Rfam family "Bacterial small subunit ribosomal RNA", at positions 343 to 905 of the family's 1533-position model. The record is from RNAcentral.